Molecule: ribosomal RNA, 400 nt
Filed under: uncultured bacterium
Lineage: Bacteria
Description: bacterial SSU rRNA
Rfam family: Bacterial small subunit ribosomal RNA
Source: RNAcentral
UGAGGAAUCUUCCGCAAUGGGCGAAAGCCUGACGGAGCGACACCGCGUGGAGGACGAAGCCUUUAUUGGCGUAAACUCCUUUUUUCCGGGAAGAUAAUGACGGUACCGGAAGAAUAAGGGACGGCUAACUACGUGCCAGCAGCCGCGGUAAUACGUAGGUCCCAAGCGUUAUCCGGAAUUACUGGGCGUAAAGAGUUCGUAGGCGGACUAUUAAGUUCGGCAUGAAAGACCGGGGCUCAACCCCGAGUUUGUGUUGGAUACUGGUAGUCUCGAAUCUGGGAGAGGUUGGCAGAAUGGUACGAGUAGGGGUGCAAUCCGUUGAUACGUACUGGAAUACCAAAAGCGAAGGCAGCCAACUGGAACAGUAUUGACGCUGAGGAACGAAAGCGUGGGGAGCGAA